AUGGCCGCGUCAUCGUCGUUCCCAUGGCCGGAGCCGUCCCCGACCCGUGAGGUUAUGCUCUGCAGCUCCGUUGGCCUCGUCUGCAUCGCCUACAACCUUCGGUUCGAGCUGAAGCCCUCCACAACCUCGCCAUCUGGUCGUCUUCCCCGCCACGGCCACGGCGCCAUCGCCGUCGAUCUCCAUCACCGGCGCCUCCCGGCGGUUCCAGACUACGAGACCGACGCUGCUGCUGCCCAGCUCGACUACGGAGUUGACGACCCCUCUCUCUUGCCAGAGCAACCAGAUGCUGGAGCCCUGGAGCCAGACGACUACUACCCCGGAGGUGCCUACUACUGCGUGCAGCCCGCUGACGACGAUCAGGAGUAG
Molecule: ribosomal RNA, 366 nt
Filed under: Triticum aestivum (bread wheat)
Lineage: Eukaryota; Viridiplantae; Streptophyta; Magnoliopsida; Poales; Poaceae
Description: partial small subunit ribosomal RNA
Source: RNAcentral